UCCUACGGGAGGCAGCAGUGGGGAAUUGUUCACAAUGGGCGCAAGCCUGAUGACGCAACGCCGCGUGGAGGAUGAAGAUCUUCGGGUCGUAAACUCCUUUCGAUCGAGACGAACGGCUUCCGGGCUAAUCACCGGGAGAGUGACGGUACCGAGAGAAGAAGCCCCGGCUAACUCCGUGCCAGCAGCCGCGGUAAUACGGGGGGGGCAAGCGUUGUUCGGAAUUACUGGGCGUAAAGGGCUCGUAGGCGGCCAACUAAGUCAGACGUGAAAUCCCUCGGCUUAACCGGGGAACUGCGUCUGAUACUGGAUGGCUUGAGGUUGGGAGAGGGAUGCGGAAUUCCAGGUGUAGCGGUGAAAUGCGUAGAUAUCUGGAGGAACACCGGUGGCGAAGGCGGCAUCCUGGACCAAUUCUGACGCUGAGGAGCGAAAGCCAGGGGAGCAAACGGGAUUAGAUACCCUGGUAGA
Molecule: ribosomal RNA, 465 nt
Filed under: uncultured bacterium
Lineage: Bacteria
Description: bacterial SSU rRNA
Rfam family: Bacterial small subunit ribosomal RNA
Source: RNAcentral